AUGAAAACGCCACACUCUGCUCCCACGCCAUUCGGAGCACCCGGGAGCCCGGGGCCCACGUGUCGUGCAAGGGCCCCAGGAUUCAGGACGACCGUACCCCGAGUGGUUCGAGUCCCGGCGCGGCUGCCUUCGCUGGCCGAGCCAACGCUCUUUACACCAGAGGCAGGGGCUGCCACAUCCCCGCGGGCCUCCGCGGACACCCCCGCGGUCACUCCCGCGGUCACUCCGCCACCCGCUCGGCUCCUUCCGCGACCGUGUGGCCCGCGGAGCUCCGCCGGCCCGGGACCCCGGGACGCCCGAGCCUGGAGCUGGGGUGAUGACAGAUGGCGGGGGCGGGGCCUCGGGGGGAAGGGGCGGAGCCUCCCGGCAUGGGGGUGCUGGCGGCUGACAGAAAGACCGGGACAGCGCGGGCGGGGGCUGACGGGGACCGCGCGCCGGGCCGGGGGCCGGGGGCCGGGCGCGGCGGGAAAGCGCUCGCGCGGACAUAGGGGGCUGACAGGCGGAGAGACACACAGACACCGGGGGCUGACAGCCGCGGGGCACACGGGGCGGCGGGCCGCGACGGGCGCUCACCUGGCAGCGGCGGCGGCGGCGGCGCCCGCGGCCCGGCCGCUCUCUCCCGCGCUGCGGGCCUCCCUCCCGGCGGGCGGGCGGGCGGCCGGCGCAGGCCCCGCGGAGGCGGCGGCGUCGACGCCGGAGCCGCGGACUGCUGAGCGGCGGGGACGCAGCUGCACCAACCGACUCCGGGCCGCUCGGCUCAGCUCGGCCGCACUCGGAGGCACUCGGCCGGGAUCGGCCCAGCUCGGCUCGGCUGGGGGCGUGGCCCAGGGCCCCCCGCCCAGGUCGCCUCUGGGGCCUUGGGGGCGGGGCUUUGGAGCGGGCGCGAGCCCCCUGACGUCGCGGCGAGCGAACCUAACCCUGGGCGCAUGCGCGAGCUCGGGCUUCGCCUUCCAGGCGUGGAGGCCAAAGAGGCAGGGGCAGAGGGAUGGGGGCGGAUGCUGCGGCCCCAGCGGUUCCUGGGUUUUGUGCUCAAGAUCCUGGUCUUUCUACGGUUCCAGCUAUCGAAGACCACACCAGGCUGCACUUCCAAAAGGAUGUAGGCCGUUGGUGGUUAGUUUUUCUUUGCUCCCACUAAGGCUUCACUGUAGUAUUUAA
This 1155-nucleotide long non-coding RNA is filed under the name Oryctolagus cuniculus (rabbit). Its description in RNAcentral is "lncRNA (ENSOCUG00000031980.1)". Lineage: Eukaryota; Metazoa; Chordata; Mammalia; Lagomorpha; Leporidae. The record is from RNAcentral.